UAGCAUAUCAAUAAGCGGAGGAAAAGAAACCCACUGGGAUUGCCUUAGUAACGGCGAGUGAAGCGGCAAUAGCUCAAAUUUGAAAGCUGGCCCCUUCGGGGUCCGCGUUGUAAUUUGUAGAGGAUGAUUCGGCGAGGGCUCCCGUCUAAGUCCCCUGGAACGGGGCGUCAUAGAGGGUGAGAAUCCCGUAUGUGAUGGGUUGCCUUAGCCAUGUGAAUCUCCUUCGACGAGUCGAGUUGUUUGGGAAUGCAGCUCUAAAUGGGAGGUAAAUUUCUUCUAAAGCUAAAUACCGGCCAGAGACCGAUAGCGCACAAGUAGAGUGAUCGAAAGAUGAAAAGCACUUUGGAAAGAGAGUUAAAAAGUACGUGAAAUUGUUGAAAGGGAAGCGCUUGCAGCCAGACUUGUCCGCAGUUGCUCAGCCGGUCUCCUGACCGGCGUACUCUUCUGCGGCCAGGCCAGCAUCAGUUCGGGCGGUCGGAUAAAGACCUCGGGAAUGUAGCUCCUCUCGGGGAGUGUUAUAGCCCGGGGUGGAAUGCGGCCAGCCUGGACUGAGGAUCUCGCUUCGGCUAGGAUGCUGGCGUAAUGGCUGUAAGCGGCCCGUCUUGAAACACGGACCAAGGAGUCUAACAUCUAUGCGAGUGUUUGGGUGUCAAACCCAUACGCGUAAUGAAAGUGAACGGAGGUGGGAACCCUCACGGGUGCACCAUCGACCGAUCCUGAUGUCUUCGGAUGGAUUUGAGUAAGAGCAUAGCUGUUGGGACCCGAAAGAUGGUGAACUAUGCCUGAAUAGGGUGAAGCCAGAGGAAACUCUGGUGGAGGCUCGCAGCGGUUCUGACGUGCAAAUCGAUCGUCAAAUUUGGGUAUAGGGGCGAAAGACUAAUCGAACCAUCUAGUAGCUGGUUCCUGCGA
This 909-nucleotide ribosomal RNA is filed under the name Ascomycota sp. DV-2018b. RNAcentral's name for it is "LSU rRNA". It matches the Rfam family "Eukaryotic large subunit ribosomal RNA", at positions 36 to 963 of the family's 3401-position model. Lineage: Eukaryota; Fungi; Ascomycota. The record is from RNAcentral.